Molecule: ribosomal RNA, 481 nt
Filed under: uncultured bacterium
Lineage: Bacteria
Description: bacterial SSU rRNA
Rfam family: Bacterial small subunit ribosomal RNA
Source: RNAcentral
AUCGUAACUCCUACGGGAGGCAGCAGUAGGGAAUCUUCCGCAAUGGACGCAAGUCUGACGGAGCAACGCCGCGUGAGUGAAGAAGGUUUUCGGAUCGUAAAACUCUGUUGUUAGAGAAGAACAAGUGCUAGAGUAACUGUUAGCGCCUUGACGGUAUCUAACCAGAAAGCCACGGCUAACUACGUGCCAGCAGCCGCGGUAAUACGUAGGUGGCAAGCGUUGUCCGGAUUUAUUGGGCGUAAAGCGAGCGCAGGCGGUUCCUUAAGUCUGAUGUGAAAGCCCCCGGCUCAACCGGGGAGGGUCAUUGGAAACUGGGGAACUUGAGUGCAGAAGAGGAGAGUGGAAUUCCAUGUGUAGCGGUGAAAUGCGUAGAUAUAUGGAGGAACACCAGUGGCGAAGGCGACUCUCUGGUCUGUAACUGACGCUGAGGCUCGAAAGCGUGGGUAGCAAACAGGAUUAGAAACCCUUGUAGUCCUAGAGC